GGUUUGAUUCUGGCUCAGAUUGAACGCUGGCGGGAUGCUUUACACAUGCAAGUCGAACGGCAGCACGGACUUCGGUCUGGUGGCGAGUGGCGAACGGGUGAGUAAUGUAUCGGAACGUGCCUAGUAGCGGGGGAUAACCACGCGAAAGCGUAGCUAAUACCACAUACGCCCUUCGGGGGAAAGCGGGGGACCUUCGGGCCUCGCACUAUUAGAGCGGCCGAUAUCGGAUUAGCUAGUUGGUGGGGUAACGGCUCACCAAGGUGACGAUCCGUAGCUGGUUUGAGAGGACGACCAGCCACACUGGGACUGAGACACGGCCCAGACUCCUACGGGAGGCAGCAGUGGGGAAUUUUGACAAUGGGGAAACCUGAUCCAGCCAUCCCGCGUGUGCUGUGAAGGCCUUCGGGUUGUAAAGCACUUGGCAGGAAGAAACGGCACGGAUAAUACCCCGUGCAACUGACGGUACCUGCAGAAUAAGCACCGGCUAACUACGUGCCAGCAGCCGCGGUAAUACGUAGGGUGCAAGCGUUAAUCGGAAUUACUGGGCGAAGCGUGCGCAGGCGGUUCGAAAGAAAGAUGUGAAAUCCCAGAGCUUAACUUUGGAACUGCAUUUUUAACUACCGAGCUAGAGUGUGUCAGGAGUGAGGUGGAAUUCCGCGUGUAGCAGGAAUGCGUAGAUAUGGAGGAACACCGGAUGGCGAAGGCAGCCUCCUGGGAUACCGACGCCUGCGCACGAGCGUGGGGAGCAAACAGGAUUAGAUACCUUGGUAGUCCACGCCCUCUAAACGAUGUCAACUAGCUGUUGGGGCCUUCGGGCCUUGGUAGCGCAGCUAACGCGAAGUUGACCGCCUGGGGAGUACGGUCGCAAGAUUAAAACUCAAAGGAAUUGACGGGGACCCGCACAAGCGGUGGAUGAUGUGGACUAAUUCGAUGCAACGCGAAAAACCUUUACCUACCCUUGACAUGUCUAAAUCCCGGAAGAGAUUUGGGAGUGCUCGCAAGAGAACCGGAACACAGGUGCUGCAUGGCUGUCGUCAGCUCGUGUCGUGAGAUGCUGGGUUAAGUCCCGCAACGAGCGCAACCCUUGUCAUUAGUUGCUACGAAAGGGCACUCUAAUGAGACUGCCGGUGACAAACCGGAGGAAGGUGGGGAUGACGUCAAGUCCUCAUGGCCCUAUGGGUAGGGCUUCACACGUCAUACAAUGGUCGGGACAGAGGGUCGCCAACCCGCGAGGGGAGCCAAUCCCAGAAACCCGAUCGUAGUCCGGAUCGCAGUCUGCAACUCGACUGCGUGAAGUCGGAAUCGCUAGUAAUCGUGGAUCAGCAUGUCGCGGUGAAUACGUUCCCGGGAGUCUGUACACACCGCCUGUCACACCAUGGAGUGGGUUUUACCAGAAGUAGUUAGCCUAACCGUAAGGAGGGCGAUUACCACGGUAGGAUUCAUGACUGGGGUGAAGUCGUAACAAGGUAG
This 1470-nucleotide ribosomal RNA is filed under the name uncultured Bordetella sp. Its description in RNAcentral is "partial 16S-23S ribosomal RNA intergenic spacer". It matches the Rfam family "Bacterial small subunit ribosomal RNA". Lineage: Bacteria; Pseudomonadati; Pseudomonadota; Betaproteobacteria; Burkholderiales; Alcaligenaceae. The record is from RNAcentral.